RNAcentral lists this ribosomal RNA (253 nucleotides) under uncultured bacterium. Its description in RNAcentral is "partial 16S ribosomal RNA". It matches the Rfam family "Bacterial small subunit ribosomal RNA", at positions 524 to 776 of the family's 1533-position model. The record is from RNAcentral.
UACAGAGGUCUCAAGCGUUGUUCGGAUUCAUUGGGCGUAAAGGGUGCGUAGGCGGCGCGGUAAGUCGGGUGUGAAAUCUCGGGGCUUAACUCCGAAACUGCAUUCGAUACUGCAGUGCUUGAGGACUGGAGAGGAGACUGGAAUUUACGGUGUAGCGGUGAAAUGCGUAGAUAUCGUAAGGAAGACCAGUGGCGAAGGCGGGUCUCUGGACAGUUCCUGACGCUGAGGCACGAAGGUCAGGGGAGCAAACGGG